CACGUAGGGCGCAAGCGUUGUCCGGGAUUAUUGGGCGUAAAGAGCUCGUAGGCGGUCUGUUGCGUCUGCUGUGAAAACUCGGGGCUUAACCCCGAGCCUGCAGUGGAUACGGGCAGACUAGAGGUAGGUAGGGGAGAAUGGAAUUCCCGGUGUAGCGGUGAAAUGCGUAGAUAUCGGAAGGAACACCAGUGGCGAAAGCGGCUUCCUGGUCCAGCACCGACGUCAGGCACGAAAGCGUGGGGAGCAAACAGG
This 252-nucleotide ribosomal RNA is filed under the name uncultured bacterium. RNAcentral's name for it is "partial 16S ribosomal RNA". It matches the Rfam family "Bacterial small subunit ribosomal RNA", at positions 524 to 776 of the family's 1533-position model. The record is from RNAcentral.